This is a long non-coding RNA of Talpa occidentalis (Iberian mole), 1232 nucleotides long. RefSeq lists it as uncharacterized. The record is from RefSeq and is a predicted model, not a curated record. The transcript is spliced from 3 exons. NCBI's taxonomy places the organism in Eukaryota, Metazoa, Chordata, Mammalia, Eulipotyphla, Talpidae.
CGUCCCUGCUGCGGGGCGCGCUGCGCAAGGCUGGGGCUUGGUGGUUGGCCCAGCUGCAUUGCGCACAGUGGUGCCUGGACAUCCUCGCUGGAUCCCCAAAAUGAGACCUCGUGAUGGAGGAGUCGAAAACAGACGAGGAAGGACCCUCAAAAUACUGCUCAGCUCAGAGCUUCUUUGAGUUUUUAAAAUACCAUUAUUGUUAGGUCAUCAUUAACCCGGGACACCAUGCACAGCGCUUCUGUUGUCUCAUCUAAUUAAAUAUGAUCUACCCGUAGCAGACAUAGACGUUAGGCCUUACAUCCCGCCUCCAUUUACCCCUGCUGGUUAGCUCUGGUGGAUAAUGUAAUAUAUUUGGAAUCAUUUUCCAAGUGCAGCUGAAAAAAGUCUUUUGGGGCCUCUGUGGGACUGUAUGUAUCAUGCCAUGUGUUGUAGUGUAGAAAGAGAGUAAAUGGUUUGGAAGUAAAAUAGGGAGCAAGACAGUAUGGCUUCAGCAUGGAAAUGGGUUUAAUAUCCUCUUUUUUAAAUUUUACAGUAGCACAAAGUGGAAAUGAAAUUCUUUACCUCAGAGUGGAAGUAAGACCUGGACUAACCAAGGAUUUCCUGUUGCUCUGCAUUUCUGUUCCCCUUCCCUUUGAUUUUAAUCAGAGAAGGUUACUGGACAGACUUCUUAUAUAGCCACCUUCUGCUUGCAGGGAAGGUAGCCAUAUUCCCGCAAUGACUUUUCUCCUCCAACUUUUUGACGAAUUUAUCUAAAAGCAAUAUAAUAGAAAUCAAAUCAAAAGAGAAAAAGAAAAGCCAAAAUACUCCAAAAAGCUCAGUUGCUAGAAUGAGGACGAAGAGGAAAGUUUACUUGAGCAACAUGGCCAAAGAUGCUGGUUCCUUGUGCAACAAUGAACAGAGGCUAGGGGCAACAAGGGCAAAAGCCUGUUACUGAGCCAACUUCUCAAGGUUGGUCUCAAGUGCUGUUCUUGCUCUUUGUGGGCCUCAUGUCGAGAGUGAUGGCUUUGACCUACCCUCCUUACAAAGGGCUCUCUGUGGGACACACUCCUCAGCUGUAACCAGCUCUGGUGUGGGAUUGAGGGAGGUUAGGAGGGCAGGCUCAGGAGUGUAUGCCUGCGAUCACGUAUUCUGCCAUGUACUAGCUUAUGACCUUAAGCAAGUAUUUAUAUUUUCAAACUUCUCUGUGCUUCAACUUAUUUAAUGUCAAUAAAUUAAAUUAGUGCUGUAAGAGA